GAGAGUGUGCCUUCCUCUAGUGACUCCGUCCACGUGGCAUCGUCACGUUCUAGCUUCGGAGAAGAAUGACGGCAUUUGGUGGCUUCAUCAGGCCAACUUCCUUCCUCGCAGUGACAUCGACACAACCUGCCUCAAGUGCUUCCAAGAAACUACCUAUUCUAGAAUAAAUAAGUACUGCUGAUUUUUCUUUUUUACAUUUUUUU
This 203-nucleotide long non-coding RNA is filed under the name Musa acuminata (dwarf banana). RNAcentral's name for it is "long non-coding RNA (MACU_LNC008504)". Lineage: Eukaryota; Viridiplantae; Streptophyta; Magnoliopsida; Zingiberales; Musaceae. The record is from RNAcentral.